Molecule: long non-coding RNA, 531 nt
Filed under: Capra hircus (goat)
Lineage: Eukaryota; Metazoa; Chordata; Mammalia; Artiodactyla; Bovidae
Description: lncRNA (ENSCHIG00000004551.1)
Source: RNAcentral
GCCGUUUCCCCUCAUCUCCAAGCUCUUCUCGGGAGUACUGCUCACACUGGGCUGACGAGGCAUGGCGAAGAAAGAUGAAGGUCCAGCAACGUUAACCUGAAGAGCCAGAUGAAAGCAGGGCUACCUCCGUGGUUUUAAAGCAUGCUAUUACUGUCUAUCUCUCAGUUCAGUUCAGUCAUUCAGUUGUGUCUGACUCUUUGUGACCCCAUGGACUGCAGCACGCCGGCCUCCCUGUCCAUCACCAACUCCCGGAGUUCACUCAGACUCACAUCCAUCGAGUCGGUGAUGCCAUCCAGCCAUCUCAUCCUCCGUCUCUGUCUCUCACUGCCUACCAAAUCCAGAAGUUCCAGGUGGAAGAGCUGGGCUUCUAUUGUUCACCAUUCCCAGGGCCUGGCACUGGGUCUGGAACUCAGGUGGCGUCUUAGACUGGAUGCCCCAGCAGCAGAGUCAGAGCUGAGAGUUCUUGUGCAGGAUUGAAAAAUGUCAAACAUUGUUCCCAGUCUCGCAAGGAAGUACUUUAGAGGUAUGCCG